GUGAAUCAUCGAAUUUUUGAACGCAAAUUGCACUCUCUUCUGUGAGGAUGCCUGUUUGAGGGUCAGCCUAAAAAAAAUCGACAUCGUUGCUGUUUCUCGGUGGCGUUCGUCGGCAAUUGGGUUAACUUAAAUUUUUUGUUUAUGCGACUUAUAAUUUUCUUUGUGAUUCCAUGACCGUUUCCAAGAUUUAUUUUUUUACUCGUUUAAGGUAUCGAUUUUAUUAGGCGUGGUCG
This 233-nucleotide unclassified non-coding RNA is filed under the name Glomus sp. Its description in RNAcentral is "partial contains 5.8S ribosomal RNA and internal transcribed spacer 2". The stretch from base 1 to 65 matches the Rfam family "5.8S ribosomal RNA", at positions 84 to 154 of the family's 154-position model. The record is from RNAcentral. Lineage: Eukaryota; Fungi; Glomeromycota; Glomeromycetes; Glomerales; Glomeraceae.